GACGAACGCUGGCGGCGUGCUUAACACAUGCAAGUCGAACGGAAAGGCCCUGCUUUUGUGGGGUGCUCGAUUGGCGAACGGGUGAGUAACACGUGAGUAACCUGCCCUUGACUGUGGGAUAACUUCAGGAAACUGGGGCUAAUACCGGAUAGAAGCUCCUGCUGCAUGGGGGUGGUUGGAAAGUUUCGGCGGUUGGGGAUGGACUCGCGGCUUAUCAGCUUGUUGGUGGGGUAGUGGCUUACCAAGGCUUUGACGGGUAGCCGGCAUGAGAGGGUGACCGGCCACAUUGGGACUGAGAUACGGACCAGACUCCUACGGGAGGCAGCAGUGGGGAAUAUUGCACAAUGGGCGGAAGCCUGAUGCAGCAACGCCGCGUGCGGGAUGACGGCCUUCGGGUUGUAAACCGCUUUCGCCUGUGACGAAGCGUGAGUGACGGUAAUGGGUAAAGAAGCACCGGCUAACUACGUG
RNAcentral lists this ribosomal RNA (468 nucleotides) under uncultured bacterium. RNAcentral describes it as "partial 16S ribosomal RNA". It matches the Rfam family "Bacterial small subunit ribosomal RNA", at positions 28 to 507 of the family's 1533-position model. The record is from RNAcentral.